GCAUGGCCGAAUUCUGUUUUACUCUUGCAGUAGUAAGUGCAGUCAGACACCAUGCUAAAUUAAUGUUUUCACACGCUGACUCAACAACAGAGUAAGGAUGCUAAGCAUGUGCCUCAUUCUGAUGUCAGAGUGGAUACAGAA
Epinephelus fuscoguttatus (brown-marbled grouper) is the source of this 141-nucleotide small nucleolar RNA. RefSeq annotates it as small nucleolar RNA SNORA15. The transcript has a single exon. NCBI's taxonomy places the organism in Eukaryota, Metazoa, Chordata, Actinopteri, Perciformes, Serranidae. The record is from RefSeq and is a predicted model, not a curated record.